UCAGAACGAACGCUGGCGGCGCGUCUUAAGCAUGCAAGUCGAGCGGUAAGUUGUAGCUUGCUACAACCUAGAGCGGCGGACUGGUGAGUAACGCGUGGGUGACGUACCUUUGUGACGGGGACAGCUCCUAGAAAUAGGAGAUAAUACCGGAUACGCUGCAGCAUGUCAGAGGUGCUGCAGGAAAGGAUCUUUUGAUUCGCACGAAGAGCGGCCCGCGUACUAUUAGCUAGUUGGUGAGGUAACGGCCCACCAAGGCGACGAUAGUUACCCGGCCUAAGAGGGUGAUCGGGCACAUUGGGACUGAGAUACGGCCCAGACUCCUACGGGAGGCAGCAGCUAAGAAUAUUCCGCAAUGGACGAAAGUCUAACGGAGCGACGCCGCGUGGAUGAUGAAAGGCCGGAAGGUUGUAAAAUCCUUUUAUGACUGAGGAAUAAGGUGGAUGAGAGAAACGUCCAUUGGUGACUGUAGGUCAUGAAUAAGCAACGGCUAAUUACGUGCCAGCAGCCGC
RNAcentral lists this ribosomal RNA (509 nucleotides) under uncultured bacterium. Its description in RNAcentral is "bacterial SSU rRNA". It matches the Rfam family "Bacterial small subunit ribosomal RNA", at positions 24 to 518 of the family's 1533-position model. The record is from RNAcentral.